UAAUAUAUUUAAACACUUAUGUAAGCUAAUUAAAUUAUCAGUCAGGAAGCCGCGCAUUCGCAACAGGUCAGCUCACAGCGUGAAUAUCGGAAAAGAUGUCCAGGAAGAAAGUCUUGUGACUGAAGGGUAACCUAAGCAUCGCUUUUUGUUUUCAAUUAUUUCAUUAUUUUGCAAGAAAAUUGGAGUAUAGGACUCCUCCAUUCACUUCUAUGACUGAUGACUGGAACAAUUACCAUGAAACUUCAACAAGUCUCGUUUGAUUUAAAAACUUUGUAUUAUGAAUAACCAACUAGAAAGACUAAUGAGAUACAAAUAUAUUGAACACUUACAUAAGCUAACAAAAACAUCUAACUGCGUUUAAUUGGUGUAUUGAUCUAUUAAUUCUCAAGGGUUGGUGAUAGCUGACGUCUCAACUUUUAACAGAUGAAAAAAGGGCGAAAGUAAACAAAAUUAAAUGACGGAGAAUGCAGCGUCAUUAUUUGUGCUCAAUAUCAUAUUGACAAAGCUGUUUUCUGUGUUUUAUUUAACGAUUUCGGUCGAAACACUAUCAGUUUCAAGUGAGAGAGAGAGAGGAUGGAACGGUCCAUCAAAAGACUAGAGACUGCUCGACAAAACGCGAAGGUGGAGGAUUCGCGAAGGUUGCAGUACAUUCAAAGGACGGUGAACAAAUCACAUUGAAAUGUAAUAAAAACGACAGCUUUCAUGUUUUGCUUGUUGGUGGAGUCCAACUCAACGAACUUAUCGCUCAUCAUGGUCCGUUCGUGAUGAACACGUGGGAGGAGAUAGAUCAAGCCAUUCGUGAUUACCACAUUGAGAAACUGGGAAAGAUCGAUGGUGCUGAAGAAAGAUAUGCUAAAACCGAGAAGACUGUUCGUCAGCAGAAAAAUACGGGCAAUUGGCACAAGUAAUUUUAAUUUCAUAAUUGCAGCUUCUUAAAUGUAAAUACUACUAAUUCUAUGGCACUUCAUAUAUGUUAACUUACUCGUGAAAAGGAUUUUCUGUAGUCGCCAUGUUCUUACGCCAAUGCCAUAAAGAAACAGACUUUCAAAAUUACGUGGAUUUUAUUUUCUAACUAUACUUAAAAACGUACGCCAUAUUGACCUGUUUCAUCGUAAUAUGGUUAUCUGAAGACAAAAACAACAAGAAAUCCAUUUACUUUGCAUGUAUCAUAAAUGUCUAGGUUAAUUAGUUUCAUCCAAAGUUUUCUAUAACGAGCAAAGCAGUUUGGUUUUAUGUGAAAGCUGACAUGCGAAUUCCGUGGAAAGACACUUGUAAUAUUGACACUGACGAGGGCAACUUAAGAAGAUGCAAAUCUAAUGUCUUUGAAAUAAAGACGAAAUAUCGCUUA
Xenia sp. Carnegie-2017 is the source of this 1348-nucleotide long non-coding RNA. RefSeq lists it as uncharacterized. The record is from RefSeq and is a predicted model, not a curated record. Lineage: Eukaryota; Metazoa; Cnidaria; Anthozoa; Malacalcyonacea; Xeniidae. The transcript is spliced from 2 exons.